This 131-nucleotide small nucleolar RNA is filed under the name Accipiter nisus (Eurasian sparrowhawk). RNAcentral describes it as "Small nucleolar RNA SNORA24 (ENSANIG00000011328.1)". It matches the Rfam family "Small nucleolar RNA SNORA24". Rfam says of the family: ACA24 is a member of the H/ACA class of snoRNA that guide the sites of modification of uridines to pseudouridines. Lineage: Eukaryota; Metazoa; Chordata; Aves; Accipitriformes; Accipitridae. The record is from Rfam by way of RNAcentral.
AUCCAUGACUCCAUGGGGGCUGCCGCCCGUGGCUGUCCCCCUUCCUAGGCAUGGAAGAGCAGUUCCUUGCUAAUUGGCAAAACCUUUAUCCUUUUGUGGGUAUCGGUCGUUGACUGUAGCAAGUAACAGGC